Molecule: ribosomal RNA, 434 nt
Filed under: uncultured bacterium
Lineage: Bacteria
Description: bacterial SSU rRNA
Rfam family: Bacterial small subunit ribosomal RNA
Source: RNAcentral
AGCGAACGCUGGCGGCAGGCCUAAUACAUGCAAGUCGAGCGGUCCCUUCGGGGGCAGCGGCGGACGGGUGAGUAACGCGUGGGAACGUGCCCUUUGGUACGGAACAACUGAGGGAAACUUCAGCUAAUACCGUAUGUGCCCUUCGGGGGAAAGAUUUAUCGCCAUUGGAGCGGCCCGCGUUGGAUUAGGUAGUUGGUGAGGUAAAGGCUCACCCAAGCCUACGAUCCAUAGCUGGUCUGAGAGGAUGAUCAGCCACACUGGGACUGAGACACGGCCCAGACUCCUACGGGAGGCAGCAGUAGGGAAUCUUGCGCAAUGGGCGAAAGCCUGACGCAGCCAUGCCGCGUGAAUGAUGAAGGUCUUAGGAUUGUAAAAUUCUUUCACCGGGGACGAUAAUGACGGUACCCGGAGAAGAAGCCCCGGCUAACUUCGUG